GAUGAACGUUGGCGACGUGCCUAACACAUGCAAGUCGAGCGGAGAAGAAGAGAGUUAACUUUUCGGAGUUAACUUUUUUCGGAUCAGCUGCGGACGGGUUAGUAAUACAUUAGGAACCUGCCCUCUACAAGGGAAUAGCCGUGGUAAACCGCGAUUAAUACCCUAUGAGACCACGAAAGCGCAUGCUGUUGAUGUUAAAGAUUUCUCGGUAGAAGAUGGCCUCAUGACCCAUUAGCUAGUUGGUGAUUUAACAGAACACCAAGGCGACGAUGGGUAGCCGGGUUGAGAGAGUGAACGGACUCAUUGGAACUGAGACACGGUACAGACUCCUCCGGGAAGCAGCAGUGGGGAAUAUUGCACAAUGGGGGAAACCAUGAUGCAGCGACGUCGCGUGAGCGAAGAAGGCAUUCGGGUCGUAAAGCUCUGUCAAAUGGGAAGAACAGGACGGUACCAUAGAAGGAAGCCACGGCUAACUACGUG
This 480-nucleotide ribosomal RNA is filed under the name uncultured bacterium. Its description in RNAcentral is "partial 16S ribosomal RNA". It matches the Rfam family "Bacterial small subunit ribosomal RNA", at positions 28 to 507 of the family's 1533-position model. The record is from RNAcentral.